CGUAGGUCACGUUGGGAGGGGUGCAGAGCACCGACUCGGACACGGGGGAGCUGGGCACCGAGCUGCCGGAGGCCACCGAGUCGCGGAAAGGCGACGGAGGCGUCAGAGCAGGUACCAGAGCAGCGUGGUCAUACACACAGCAGCUGUACGGAGGAGAAGAAAGCAGAUGACGGAAAACCCAGACCCACAUUCCAUUUAAGUGUGUCACAAGUGUUGCUUUUCUUUUUGUUUCAAUGCACCAUCCCCGACACUUACAAUGGACUGCAAUUCACAUAAAGGCCCUGAUUCACAGCGGCUGGUUUGGGAUUUCCACACCGGGGAUUUUUAACUAGGUAGUGUUAAGGAAGUCCAGCAAAAGACAGAUGGUUAGACCCUGGGUUAGUCCUUCAGCAUAGUUUGUGAUGCAAAUGAGACGAAAGGAAGAUUCAGAGAAAGCAGAAGUUACUGAGACAAAAGCCCUUCCAUGGCCUUUUACUCAUUGAGCUUUGGAGAAGAAAAAAUGUUGGGAUACCAGCAGGACUCCAGCUUUAUUGGCUUAGAUCUUUGUGGGACCAUUUUAAAACCAAUUAAAUAGAAAGAGGAGGAGGAGGGGGAGGAGAAGGAGGAGAAGGGGGAGGAGGAGGAGUGGGAGAGGGAGGAGAAAGAAGAAGAAGAAGGAGAAGGAGGAGGAGGAGGGAAAGAGAUGUAUUGUGUAUGUACUCAAACUCUAUUCUGUAUGUUGUAAUUAAUAACUCUGGUCUUGCUUUUGGACUUUUAGCUUUUUUUUUUUUCUGUAUAACUCUCAGCAGAUGGUGGUGCCUUGCCACAGCAUACUAUUAAUAACAGCGGUGUUAAUACUUAAAUCAGGAAGUUUAUUUUUUUGUGUAUGUGUGUGUGUUCAGUUUGCUUUUUCACUGUAUCCGUGAAAACAACAGAGAAAGUAGCACGAUGUUAACACAUUUUUGACAUUAAAAGGAAUAGGGAUAAGGAACAGUUUUUUUCAUAGGUGGAUGUGUGAAAUAGACUAUUUUGUAUCAUGGUCUUUUGUUUGGGAAAAUGUAUGAAAUGAUCAGUAGCUAAUAUAAAGGUUUAUUUAAUCAUUUUGAAAAUACAAGAAUGAGUACUUCAAAAUUAUGUGUGUGUCACAUUUACAAUGACAGUAAUGUUUUGACAUUUUAUAUAUUAUUAUCUUGAAAAGGGAAGUGAGCCACUAAGUACGGAUUGUUAAAGAAAUUCUGAUACCUAUUACAGAAAAUUCUGGAUAAAGAAGUCCCAAAAUAGGUACAGUAGCCAAAAUUUUGAUCUCAUUAUUUGGGAAAAGGUAGUUCUUCUAUAUAGCUUAUAAUUUAUAUGCUGUAUUUUUAACUGUCUAGGAAACAUCCUAUCUCCAAAAUACGAUAUGAAAAUUAAUAUUUCUCUUAAAUAUAUGCUUACUAUAUUCCUUGAGAAUGUAGAAGUCCUUGUAAAUGCAAAAUUACAGACUUUUCAGCUUCCACA
Leopardus geoffroyi (Geoffroy's cat) is the source of this 1476-nucleotide long non-coding RNA. RefSeq lists it as uncharacterized. The record is from RefSeq and is a predicted model, not a curated record. NCBI's taxonomy places the organism in Eukaryota, Metazoa, Chordata, Mammalia, Carnivora, Felidae. The transcript has 2 exons.